AUUUAUUUACUAGAGAGAGAGAGAGAGAGAGAGAGAGAGAGAGAGAGAGAGAGAGAGGAGGAAAAGCGAGACUAUUUGGAAGAUAUUCCAAUCGAAGUACGAUUUGAAUAUCUUCUCUCUCUCUCUCUCUCUCUCUCCUCUAAUGAAACAGCCUAUGAUGUUGUAUCGCGCGAUAAUAUUGUUACGUUCUCUCUUUCUUCUCCAAUAAAACUGCCUAUAAUGUGUGCUUUGUGCGAUAGUGUUAUUUCUCUCACUCUUCUCUAAUAAAACAGCCUAUAAUGUAUGCAUCGCGCGAUCAUAUCUUUGAUCUCUCUCUCUCUCUCUCUCUCUCUCUCUCGCUCUCUCUCUCUCUUUUGUCU
RNAcentral lists this microRNA precursor (359 nucleotides) under Olea europaea subsp. europaea. The record is from RNAcentral. Lineage: Eukaryota; Viridiplantae; Streptophyta; Magnoliopsida; Lamiales; Oleaceae.